GGGGAGCACCGGAUCCUGGGCUGCGUCCCCCGGCGCCCUGGGCUCCCAGGCCUGUGCUGCUGGAAUCCCGCUCCCAGGCUGCGCAGCCCCCU
RNAcentral lists this microRNA precursor (92 nucleotides) under Canis lupus familiaris (dog). RNAcentral's name for it is "mir-8799 microRNA precursor family". It matches the Rfam family "mir-8799 microRNA precursor family". RNAcentral also lists the same sequence under 1 other name. The record is from Rfam by way of RNAcentral. Lineage: Eukaryota; Metazoa; Chordata; Mammalia; Carnivora; Canidae.